Molecule: long non-coding RNA, 501 nt
Filed under: Ananas comosus (pineapple)
Lineage: Eukaryota; Viridiplantae; Streptophyta; Magnoliopsida; Poales; Bromeliaceae
Description: long non-coding RNA (ACOM_LNC016181)
Source: RNAcentral
AAUUAAAUUAUGCUUAUGGGAUUCGCCAAUCCUAUCAUAAUUAUUGAGAAAAUAUUUUUUUGUCAAAAAAAUUUAAUUGACUGAAUAGAAAUAAUGCGUUAUAAUUGCUAUAUAAUAGAUUUUUUUCAUGCCUAAACUAUAUAAAAUUUUUCUGUCAAAAUCUGAUUUUUUACUCUCCCUCGUCAUUUAAAAAUCUACACUUUGCCUCUUGUAAAAUGAAAAAUGUUCAUUUCAUCCCCUACCGUUAGUAAUCCGUUAGAGUUUCGUUUAUAAAUUAUUAUUAUAUAUUUUUAAUGCCAAAAAUAUUUUCAGCGUUCUCUCCUGUGAACAUGAUGAGGGGCAAAAUGGUGAGUGACAAAAUGGUCAUUUUAUCAUCACAGUUCAUACCGUAUCUUUCUGUAAAUAUUUUUAAUUUUAUAAAAAGAAAAAGUGUAGUUUUUUAAAUGAUAGGGGGAGAAAGUAAAAAAUCGGAUUUUGACUGAAAAAUUUUAUAUGAUUUAG